This 415-nucleotide ribosomal RNA is filed under the name uncultured bacterium. RNAcentral describes it as "bacterial SSU rRNA". It matches the Rfam family "Bacterial small subunit ribosomal RNA", at positions 361 to 776 of the family's 1533-position model. The record is from RNAcentral.
AUAUUGCGCAAUGGCCGCAAGGCUGACGCAGCGACGCCGCGUGGAGGAUGAAGCCCCUCGGGGUGUAAACUCCUGUUGCUCGGGACGAACCAUGGGUUUCGACCCAUCUGACGGUACCGAGUGAGGAAGCUCCGGCUAACUCCGUGCCAGCAGCCGCGGUAAUACGGAGGGAGCGAGCGUUGUUCGGAAUUACUGGGCGUAAAGCGUAUGUAGGCUGUUUUGUAAGACAGGUGUGAAAUCCCAGAGCUUAACUUUGGAACUGCAUUUGUGACUGCAAGACUUGAGUAUCGGAGAGGUUGGCGGAAUUCCUAGUGUAGAGGUGAAAUUCGCAGAUAUUAGGAGGAACACCGAUGGCGUAAGCAGCCAACUGGACGAUUACUGACGCUGAGAUACGAAAGCGUGGGGAGCAAACAGG